AGUGAACGCUGGCGGUAGGCCUAACACAUGCAAGUCGAACGGCAGCACAGUAAGAGCUUGCUCUUACGGGUGGCGAGUGGCGGACGGGUGAGGAAUACAUCGGAAUCUACUUUUUCGUGGGGGAUAACGUAGGGAAACUUACGCUAAUACCGCAUACGACCUACGGGUGAAAGCAGGGGAUCUUCGGACCUUGCGCGAUUGAAUGAGCCGAUGUCGGAUUAGCUAGUUGGCGGGGUAAAGGCCCACCAAGGCGACGACCCGUAGCUGGUCUGAGAGGAUGAUCAGCCACACUGGAACUGAGACACGGUCCAGACUCCUACGGGAGGCAGCAGUGGGGAAUAUUGGACAAUGGGCGCAAGCCUGAUCCAGCUAUACCGCGUGGGUGAAGAAGGCCUUCGGGUUGUAAAGCCCUUUUGUUGGGAAAGAAAAGCAGCAGGUUAAUACCCCGCUGUUCUGACGGUACCCAAAGAAUAAGCACCGGCUAACUUCGUG
This 492-nucleotide ribosomal RNA is filed under the name uncultured bacterium. Its description in RNAcentral is "partial 16S ribosomal RNA". It matches the Rfam family "Bacterial small subunit ribosomal RNA", at positions 29 to 507 of the family's 1533-position model. The record is from RNAcentral.